This 251-nucleotide ribosomal RNA is filed under the name uncultured prokaryote. RNAcentral's name for it is "partial 16S rRNA". It matches the Rfam family "Bacterial small subunit ribosomal RNA", at positions 525 to 775 of the family's 1533-position model. The record is from RNAcentral.
AAGGGGGGUGCGCGCGUUGUUCGGCAUUAUUGGGCGUAAAGAGCGUGUAGGGGGUCGAAUAAGUCAGAUGUGAAAUCUCUGGGCUUAACACAGGACGAGCAUUAGAUACUAUUCGGCUAGAGUAGGGGAGAGGAAAGUGGAAUUCCUGGUGUAGAUGUGAUAUUCGUAGAUAUCAGGAGGACCACCGUUAUCGUGGGCGACUUUCUGACCCUAAACUGACGCUGAGACGCGAAAGCGUGGGUAUCAAACAG